AAAAUUAAUAACUUCUUGACAGUGUACAAAUCCGCCCGUUUCUCUUCCAGCGUGUAUGACUUGGUGUAGGAUUUGUUUUGGUUUUCCUUUUUUAGUUUUGUGCGCUGCCUACUGCGAUCGCGAGUUUGUCGAGCGUUUUGUUUUUGUUUACGCCAGUACUGCAGACGAAAAAACUGGGAUUUAUCACGUGAAACUUAAAAAUUGAUUCCGGAUAGUGUGGGGUCUCGAUUCCAGGGAAAAUCAAGGCGUUGCUGUCCAAGGAAGAGUAAGAAACAAAAACAAGUGCCUACUCCUGCGGUAUCUUUCGUUUUCACACAUCACAGAGUUGUGAAAUUAAUUUUCGACUUUUUUUUGGUGCUUAUUGAAAUAGGUCAUCGACGAGAUUAAUCAUUAGUUGGAUGGUCGGGUAAAUCGUCGACGGAAGUUCCUACCAGAGUUUGCAAUUAUGAACUUCUUACGAUUAACUUCUGGAGAAGUGGUCCGGCCAUCUUCGUGCCAGUUCCUGUUUCGGUUCGAGACGUGCCUUCUGGUAUUAUAAGUUGAGUCGAUUGGCCGGAAUGGAGCAAAAACGCAUGCACUACGACCCGCAGGCUUCCAUUUGACCGGCAGCUCGGUUCUUUUCUGACAGUUUGGGAACCUCCGGAGACAUACAAAGACGUUACCAAGAUUUCGUCCACGCAACGAGAGGUUGAAGCGGAGCCAGCAUCGAACGAUACUG
Culex quinquefasciatus (southern house mosquito) is the source of this 718-nucleotide long non-coding RNA. RefSeq lists it as uncharacterized. The record is from RefSeq and is a predicted model, not a curated record. The transcript is spliced from 3 exons. NCBI's taxonomy places the organism in Eukaryota, Metazoa, Arthropoda, Insecta, Diptera, Culicidae.